RNAcentral lists this ribosomal RNA (386 nucleotides) under uncultured bacterium. RNAcentral's name for it is "bacterial SSU rRNA". It matches the Rfam family "Bacterial small subunit ribosomal RNA", at positions 30 to 416 of the family's 1533-position model. The record is from RNAcentral.
AUUGAACGCUGGCGGCAUGCCUUACACAUGCAAGUCGAACGGCAGCACGGGAGCAAUCCUGGUGGCGAGUGGCAAACGGGUGAGUAAUAUAUCGGAACGUGCCCAGUCGUGGGGAUAACGUAGCGAAAGCUACGCUAAUACCGCAUACGAUCUAUGGAUGAAAGCGGGGGAUCGCAAGACCUCGCGCGAUUGGAGCGGCCGAUAUCAGAUUAGGUAGUUGGUGAGGUAAAGGCUCACCAAGCCGACGAUCUGUAGCUGGUCUGAGAGGACGACCAGCCACACUGGGACUGAGACACGGCCCAGACUCCUACGGGAGGCAGCAGUGGGGAAUUUUUGGACAAUGGGCGCAAGCCUGAUCCAGCAAUGCCGCGUGCAGGAUGAAGGCC